GGAAACCUGGUUUUCUGUAUGCACAGAUGAGUGCUUUUCCCACUGGCUUCAGCACAAGCAAUAAGUUCAUCCAAAGACAGAAUUUGGCCUGGGGCAGUUGCAGUGGGCCAAGUGUCUGUUCCAAAGUUCUGCUGUGACCAGCAGAUUACCUGGGUAUUAAUGACUGGUUGUGAGAAGCUGACUACCAGACCCAGCCUGAGAAAUAUAAGGCACUGCACUUCUCACUCACAUGGGGAAAAGGACAACCAUGGGAAAAGGACAGCUGUCUGAAACGGUUCUGUGUCCUAGGAUUCAGAUGUUGACUAGGAAACCUGAACAAAACAAAAUUGUGAUCAACAUUUGCCGCAUCAUCCUUCUCUCUGAUCAACUCCGUGCAGAUCCACCGUGCCGCCACCAAACUGCCCAGAGGCAUAGCAGCUCCUGACGGGGGCUGUACCCCAGACGUGCUCAGCUGUGUCUCAUCCCAAAGGCAGAAAGCUUGCCUUCUUCCCCAGGAGACUCACAGAGCCAUGUAAAUAGGCCUCUGAGGGCCAGUCUCAUCAACUUACCUGACAUUUAUAGACGUUUCUGAAUAUGCUUUCACUCUGGUCAUACUUAGGUUCCCUCUUGUACUCUGAACAUCAAGGUGCUGAGAAGCUCUAAUGAGGAAAAUCAGAAGAAAGGAAGGAAAGAAAAAUAAUAUGUAUUGGUUACUUAAUAUCUGAAGGCAUAUUGUUAAUUUCUUUACAGAUAAAUUCUUUCCACACAAAAAUCUAUGAAAUAGUUUGGUUUUCUGUCCCUAUUGCCUAAAUAAGAAAUUGAAGCUUAGAGGCAGCAAGUGACUUGACCAAAGUUGCCACUUUAGUAAGUUCCAAGUUAGGAUUUCAGCCCAAGCUUGGCCUCAAAGAACAUGCUAUUUCUACUCACCACACCACAAAGAACUAUAAAUUGAGAACAGAAGUGCCCACAAAGAGCUAAUCUAUUAAUGUGUUGAAUGCUAAUGAACAUUAGUCAAUUGAUAGACAUUAGCUGUGACACAUUUGCCAGGAAAAUGACCCUCCUUUUGCAAAUAGUCUCAUUAUUUAUAGGGCAUUGAAAAUUGCUUCACUGAUCUAUUAAUCAUAUUUUAGUACAAUAUUACUACUUAUUAAAUUCUGAUGUUAUAAUACCUUAUUUGUAUGAUGCCACACAACUGGUUAGAAAGUGAAACAAUGAAGCCAUUUAAAGCACUGCUUACCUUGUGAUAGCUAAAAGAUUUACCAUCUCUAAAUAUAUAAAAGAAUUAACUGAUUUUUUUAAACUAUUCCCAAACUCUUCUCAGUUUUUACGAUGCAUACAAGAAAGACUAAUAUUUACAUUGGUCAUCUUUAACCUUUAUGAAAAACAAAACAAAACUAAGGACCUUUAAGAAUUUUUUUUUUAAAUCAAAACAGUACGAGUACAUGACAUUUUUAAAAAAUCAGAUGUUUCAGAGAAGAUUAUAGUGAGAACCAGUAGUCUCCCAUCUCACUCUUUAGAGUCAGAGUACAUUUGGCUUUAAGUCUGAGAAACAUAAUUAAAAGUGGCUUCAGGACUUCCCUGGCGGUCCAGUGGUUAAAACUCCAAGCUUCUAUUGCAAGGGGUGUGGCUUCAAUCCCUGGUGGGGGAGCUAAGAUCCUACAUGCUAUGUGGUGCGGCCCCCAAAAAAGUAUUUAAAAAAUGAAAUUUCUAAAUUUCUUAAAUUAAGAAAUAUAGUAUCUCACAUACCAAAGUCCCUGUGCAGGGUGUGGCUUGAGAUUUUUGACCCGACUGCUCAUGAACGCUUGGCAUGUAGCUCUGUUCCCCAGAGUCACAAGAUGGCUGCAAUCUAGCUGUACAAAGCAGUGGAAGACUGUCUCCUUCUCUUCAGUUUGAUUAUGCUCCUCCCUCCACUAUGACUGAAAGUAACCAAUUAAGCUUCAGGCACUGUUUGUCCAGAUCAAUAAUUCUCUACCUGAUCAGAUCCAAUGCCCCUUUUGAAAACAAAUUUUUCAUAAUCCCCUCUUCCCUAGCCUGGUAACAUGUGAUUGAUACCACAACCCAUCUAUACACUCAAUCUCAGAAAAUACUUAUACUAACAAGGUUUCUUAGACAAGUUCAGUUAGGCUAAGAUUCUUGGCUUAAAGCCGAAUAAACACGCUCCUUCCCAGGCCCA
Molecule: long non-coding RNA, 2152 nt
Organism: Bos indicus x Bos taurus (hybrid cattle)
Lineage: Eukaryota; Metazoa; Chordata; Mammalia; Artiodactyla; Bovidae
Source: Ensembl